This 1383-nucleotide ribosomal RNA is filed under the name uncultured bacterium. Its description in RNAcentral is "16S ribosomal RNA". It matches the Rfam family "Bacterial small subunit ribosomal RNA". The record is from RNAcentral.
UUCGCCCUUAGAGUUUGAUCCUGGCUCAGGACGAACGCUGGCGGCGCGCCUAACACAUGCAAGUCGAACGGAGUCAAGAGGAGCUUGCUUUUCUUGACUUAGUGGCGAACGGGUGAGUAACGCGUGAGUAACCUGCCCUGGAGUGGGGGACAACAGUUGGAAACGACUGCUAAUACCGCAUAAGCCCACGGAUCCGCAUGGAUCUGUGGGAAAAGGAUUUAUUCGCUUCAGGAUGGACUCGCGUCCAAUUAGCUAGUUGGUGAGGUAACGGCCCACCAAGGCGACGAUUGGUAGCCGGACUGAGAGGUUGAACGGCCACAUUGGGACUGAGACACGGCCCAGACUCCUACGGGAGGCAGCAGUGGGGGAUAUUGCACAAUGGGGGAAACCCUGAUGCAGCGACGCCGCGUGGAGGAAGAAGGUUUUCGGAUUGUAAACUCCUGUCGUUAGGGACGAUAAUGACGGUACCUAACAAGAAAGCACCGGCUAACUACGUGCCAGCAGCCGCGGUAAAACGUAGGGUGCAAGCGUUGUCCGGAAUUACUGGGUGUAAAGGGAGCGCAGGCGGACCGGCAAGUUGGAAGUGAAAACUAUGGGCUCAACCCAUAAAUUGCUUUCAAAACUGCUGGCCUUGAGUAGUGCAGAGGUAGGUGGAAUUCCCGGUGUAGCGGUGGAAUGCGUAGAUAUCGGGAGGAACACCAGUGGCGAAGGCGACCUACUGGGCACCAACUGACGCUGAGGCUCGAGAGCAUGGGUAGCAAACAGGAUUAGAUACCCUGGUAGUCCAUGCCGUAAACGAUGAUUACCUAGGUGUUGGAGGAUUGACCCCUUCAGUGCCGCAGUUAACACAAUAAGUAAUCCACCUGGGGAGUACGACCGCAAGGUUGAAACUCAAAGGAAUUGACGGGGGCCCGCACAAGCAGUGGAGUAUGUGGUUUAAUUCGAAGCAACGCGAAGAACCUUACCAGGUCUUGACAUCCGAUGCAUAGUGCAGAGAUGCAUGAAGUCCUUCGGGACAUCGAGACAGGUGGUGCAUGGUUGUCGUCAGCUCGUGUCGUGAGAUGUUGGGUUAAGUCCCGCAACGAGCGCAACCCUUAUUGCCAGUUACUACGAAAGAGGACUCUGGCGAGACUGCCGUUGACAAAACGGAGGAAGGUGGGGAUGACGUCAAAUCAUCAUGCCCUUUAUGACCUGGGCUACACACGUACUACAAUGGCGUUUAACAAAGAGAAGCAAGACCGCGAGGUGGAGCAAAACUCAAAAACAACGUCUCAGUUCAGAUUGCAGGCUGCAACUCGCCUGCAUGAAGUCGGAAUUGCUAGUAAUCGCGGAUCAGCAUGCCGCGGUGAAUACGUUCCCGGGCCUUGUACACACCGCCCGUCA